Molecule: long non-coding RNA, 1391 nt
Organism: Mus musculus (house mouse)
Lineage: Eukaryota; Metazoa; Chordata; Mammalia; Rodentia; Muridae
Product: predicted gene, 52691
Exons: 2
Source: RefSeq, a predicted model, not a curated record
GCUGCAGAAAGGAAAGACUCAGUACAGCUCCAGUGACAGUUCCAUUCCUCACCCUCGAGGGGUCCAAGCAGUGAAAAGCCAUGUGACAAUCACAAGGACCUGCUGUCAAUCUCUUAGUUAGGUCUCACAGGCAUAAGACCAUGCUUGUCCCCGCAGCCCGAGAGAUCCACACAUCCAUACACCUAAAAUGCUGAGCCUAAAACUAAAGGUAUCCUGACUACCUGACAUCAUCAGCCAAGAGGACACAGGGGGAAGCCAAUGCCACAUUAUGCAACCAACCGCGACACAGCCGUGUGACAGCUAUACAUGUAACGUCACACAUACACCUGUGCCCAUAGGAGCCUGACCCAGGCAUAGCUCAGGUAUGAGCAACACCACGACAAGUCUGUGAGCAAUGGAUCUAAUCCCCUACCAGUACCAGAAAAGAGACAGCACCAGCCCCCUCCUAUGAGAAGGACCUAGAUGGAAAAUAGCUGAGCUGAGAGCAAACAGAUUCUCAGAAGGGGCACAGAGAGACCAUGACCACACGGAAAAACAAAAUGGGCACCAGACCAACCCAGGCUUUAGACUUCCAUAGUUUAUGGUAGGCUCCAGUCAGACUGGGGAAGGGUCUGCAAAUUCCUGAGAUCCUGAUUAAGUUACCCAGCCCCAGCCCAACUUCAGCAGAGGCCGAUAAUCCUUUACAAGUUAAUUCCACAGUCCCUAGAGAAAGUUCCUUAAGCUAUCAAGGCAAAUGAUCGCUCUCUCCCUGCACUGGCGCCAAUGGAUCUGGCAGCCAGGUAACUGGAUAAACACGGUGUUGCUACUGGUCCAGGACUAGAACAUAAGGGGACGACAAACCUACUAAAAGAUUGUCCAAGAUAGCCACAAGGAGGACGCCAAGGUCUGGCCAGGGAAAGGAAGUCAGAUGAUGAGUACAUACCUGUAGAACAGUAGGCAACACCAACUCUGGGAAAGCGAUGCUGUGGGCCUGGCUGUGCAGGUAUUCCAGAGUAAGGUCACACAGCUGUUCCAGCAGCCCGUCCUGGGGGGCAGGCCCAACCUCAUCAGAUGAUGAAGCCCAGUAGCCCAUUUUCUUACAUUUCACCCCAACUCUGCUCAAUCUCCAAGACCAGGGCUAUAAAACAGUACGCACAGACCCCCCCAAGCCACACCCAGCUUCACGGGAACUGAGAUUAAGGAGUCAUUGCUCCAUGACUACAAAAACCUCAAUCUUAGCAUUUGAAAAGUGGAACUCUGUGAGUUCAAGGCUAGCCUGAUCAAUAUAGCAAGUUCCAGGACAGCAAGAGCUAUAUAAUAGAGAGAUCUUGUCUCAAAAGAAACCACAAAUGGUCCACAAUGGGAAUCCCUCCCUUGUAUAUCAACGGCCUUAUUAAGUCCUUGUAAACCAA